Molecule: ribosomal RNA, 492 nt
Filed under: uncultured bacterium
Lineage: Bacteria
Description: partial 16S ribosomal RNA
Rfam family: Bacterial small subunit ribosomal RNA
Source: RNAcentral
AGUGAACGCUGGCGGUAGGCCUAACACAUGCAAGUCGAACGGCAGCACAGUAAGAGCUUGCUCUUACGGGUGGCGAGUGGCGGACGGGUGAGGAAUACAUCGGAAUCUACUUUUUCGUGGGGGACAACGUAGGGAAACUUACGCUAAUACCGCAUACGAACUACGGGUGAAAGCAGGGGAUCUUCGGACCUUGCGCGAUUGAAUGAGCCGAUGUCGGAUUAGCUAGUUGGCGGGGUACAGGCCCACCAAGGCGACGAUCCGUAGCUGGUCUGAGAGGAUGAUCAGCCACACUGGAACUGAGACACGGUCCAGACUCCUACGGGAAGCAGCAGUGGGGAAUAUUGGACAAUGGGCGCAAGCCUGAUACAGCCAUACCGCGUGGGUGAAGAAGGCCUUCGGGUUGUAAAGCCCUUUUGUUGGGAAAGAAAAGCAGCAGGUUAAUACCCCGCUGUUCUGACGGUACCCUAAGAAUAAGCACCGGCUAACUUCGUG